Molecule: microRNA precursor, 91 nt
Filed under: Canis lupus familiaris (dog)
Lineage: Eukaryota; Metazoa; Chordata; Mammalia; Carnivora; Canidae
Description: mir-8799 microRNA precursor family
Rfam family: mir-8799 microRNA precursor family
Source: Rfam by way of RNAcentral
AGGGGGAGGCCGGAUCCUGGGCUGUGUCCCUGGUGCCCUGUGCUCCGGGGCCUGCGGUGUUGGAUUCGUGGUCCCGGAAGCGCAGCCCCCU